RNAcentral lists this unclassified non-coding RNA (358 nucleotides) under soil metagenome. RNAcentral describes it as "partial contains 5.8S ribosomal RNA, internal transcribed spacer 2, and large subunit ribosomal RNA". The stretch from base 1 to 120 matches the Rfam family "5.8S ribosomal RNA", at positions 35 to 154 of the family's 154-position model. The record is from RNAcentral.
GAUGAAGAACGCAGCGAAAUGCGAUAAGUAAUGUGAAUUGCAGAAUUCAGUGAAUCAUCGAAUCUUUGAACGCACAUUGCGCCCGUCAGUAUUCUGGCGGGCAUGCCUGUUCGAGCGUCAUUACGCCCCUCAAGUCCCCUGUGGACUUGGUGUUGGGGAUCGGCGAGGCUGGUUUUCCAGCACAGCCGUCCCUUAAAUUAAUUGGCGGUCUCGCCGUGGCCCUCCUCUGCGCAGUAGUAAAACACUCGCAACAGGAGCCCGGCGCGGUCCACUGUCGUAAAACCCCCCAACUUUUUAUAGUUGACCUCGAAUCAGGUAGGACUACCCGCUGAACUUAAGCAUAUCAAUAAGCGGAGGA